UUUUGAACCUGUGACACGAGGAUUUUCAGUCCUCUGCUCUACCAGCUGAG
Molecule: transfer RNA, 50 nt
Filed under: Thunbergia grandiflora
Lineage: Eukaryota; Viridiplantae; Streptophyta; Magnoliopsida; Lamiales; Acanthaceae
Description: partial tRNA-Phe
Source: RNAcentral